GGAGAGAUGGCUGAGUGGUUUAAAGCACCAGAUUGCUAAUCUGUUGUAUAAUAUUAAUUAUACCGAGGGUUCGAAUCCCUUUCUCUCCU
Molecule: transfer RNA, 89 nt
Filed under: Erythroglossum lusitanicum
Lineage: Eukaryota; Rhodophyta; Florideophyceae; Ceramiales; Delesseriaceae
Description: tRNA-Ser
Rfam family: tRNA
About the family: Transfer RNA (tRNA) molecules are approximately 80 nucleotides in length.
Source: RNAcentral